GAUAAUUUUAGAAUAUAUUUAUAUAAUUUUAGAAUAUAUUAAUAUAAUUUUAGAAUAUAUUAAUUGAAUAAAUUUUAGAUAUCAACCAUUAGUUUAAGCAUGGAGAUGGAGUUUCCACAGCAUGAUACAACUGUAUCAUAAAGAAGAAGACAGAAAAACUACUGACAAUUUUAGUCCUAAAGAAACUACACCAUAAUGGUUUAAAAAUAAAUGCACUCAUGGGUGAAAGACUUUUGGCUCUUUUGGAAAAGGUGCCAUCUGAAAGCCAAUCAGAAGGCUUGGAAAGUAUGAGCCUUUCAAAUAAAUACUUUUCAAUUGUGUAGUAUCAAGAUUGUAUCAUACUUUGAUGGAGCAAUCAAAGGAUCAAAAUACUAUAGAAUUAUCACCAACAAAUUCAAC
This is a long non-coding RNA of Gordionus sp. m RMFG-2023, 399 nucleotides long. RefSeq lists it as uncharacterized. The transcript has 4 exons. The record is from RefSeq and is a predicted model, not a curated record. Lineage: Eukaryota; Metazoa; Nematomorpha; Gordioida; Chordodea; Parachordodidae.